RNAcentral lists this ribosomal RNA (458 nucleotides) under uncultured bacterium. Its description in RNAcentral is "partial 16S ribosomal RNA". It matches the Rfam family "Bacterial small subunit ribosomal RNA", at positions 29 to 507 of the family's 1533-position model. The record is from RNAcentral.
AACGAACGCUGGCGGCAUGCCUAACACAUGCAAGUCGAACGAGACCUUCGGGUCUAGUUGCGCACGGGUGCGUCACGCGUGGGAACCUGCCGUUAGGUUCGGAAUAACUCCCCGUCAGGGGGGCUAAUACCGGGUAAUGUCUUCGGACCACAGAUUUAUCGCCUUGGGGUAAGCCCGGGUUGGUUUGGCUAGUAGGCAGGGUAAAAGCCUACCAAGGCGACGAUCCAUAGCUGGUCUAAGAGGGUGGAAAGCCACACUGUGACUGAGGAACGGCAGAGACUCCUGCACGAGGCAGCGGUGGAGAAUAUUACGCGAGGCAGGAAAGCGGGAUCCAGGAAUACCGGGUGGGGGAAGAUGGCGUUCGGCUGCGUGAGCGAUGUUGUUCGGAAAGAAGAACAGCACGUUUACACCCCGUGGUAAUGACGGUACCCGAAGAAUAAGCUCCGGCUAACUCCGUG